RNAcentral lists this microRNA (23 nucleotides) under Apis mellifera (honey bee). RNAcentral describes it as "ame-miR-6048-3p". Lineage: Eukaryota; Metazoa; Arthropoda; Insecta; Hymenoptera; Apidae. The record is from miRBase by way of RNAcentral.
AGAGGCGAGGUGGACCGACUGGU